RNAcentral lists this non-coding RNA (95 nucleotides) under Deinococcus soli (ex Cha et al. 2016). RNAcentral's name for it is "Deinococcus soli SAM-I sequence". It matches the Rfam family "SAM riboswitch aptamer (S box leader)". From Rfam's summary of the family: The SAM riboswitch is found upstream of a number of genes which code for proteins involved in methionine or cysteine biosynthesis in Gram-positive bacteria. The SAM riboswitch acts at the level of transcription termination control. The record is from Rfam by way of RNAcentral. Lineage: Bacteria; Thermotogati; Deinococcota; Deinococci; Deinococcales; Deinococcaceae.
ACCCACUUCAGAGCGCCCGAGAGACCUGGCUCGUUGACGGCGCGGCAACCGGACCUCAUCACGUCACGGUGCCAAGGCCAGCCCCGCAGGCGGGU